RNAcentral lists this ribosomal RNA (406 nucleotides) under uncultured bacterium. Its description in RNAcentral is "partial 16S ribosomal RNA". It matches the Rfam family "Bacterial small subunit ribosomal RNA", at positions 30 to 526 of the family's 1533-position model. The record is from RNAcentral.
AUUGAACGCUGGCGGCAGGCUUAACACAUGCAAGUCGAGCGAGCGGCGGACGGGUGAGUAAUGUCUGGGAAACUGCCUGAUGGAGGGGGAUAACUACUGGAAACGGUAUCUAAUACCGCAUACCAUCAGAUGUGCCCAGAUGGGAUUAGCUAGUAGGUGGGGUAAUGGCUCACCUAGGCGACGAUCCCUAGCUGGUAUGAGAGGAUGACCAGCCACACUGGACCUGAGACAAGGUCCAGACUCCUACGGGAGGCGGCAGUGGGGAAUAUUGAACAAUGGGCGCAAGCCUGAUGCAGCCAUGCCGCGGGUGUGAAGAAGGCCUUAGAGUUGUAAAGCACUGUCAGCGAGGAGGCGUUACUCGCAGAAGAAGCACCGGCUAACUCCGUGACAGCAGCCGCGGUAAUAC